This 317-nucleotide unclassified non-coding RNA is filed under the name Hevea brasiliensis (rubber tree). The record is from RNAcentral. Lineage: Eukaryota; Viridiplantae; Streptophyta; Magnoliopsida; Malpighiales; Euphorbiaceae.
AAGCCUCCCUUUAAGGAAGAAUAUCUGCAAACAAAAUGGCCAAAGCAGAAAUCAAGGAAUUAUCAGCGUAAGCAAAGAACAAAAGGAAAACAUGCAAUGAUAUGCUUAUCUCAGAAAGGAUGCCUCAGAAAACUGUGUUUUUUUGGCACAUCACAGCCUUAAGUUACUAACCAAGAAAGCUUGGCAUCAGAUUAUACCAUUGAAAGGUGAUUUGCCCUUAUUCCAAUAUAUCCAGUUAUUGCAAUAUUUUUUAUGUUGUAGUAAUAGGUGAAUUAAGUAAAUCUUUAAUGCAGUUAACUCAACUCAACUCAACUAAG